Molecule: long non-coding RNA, 242 nt
Filed under: Zonotrichia albicollis (white-throated sparrow)
Lineage: Eukaryota; Metazoa; Chordata; Aves; Passeriformes; Passerellidae
Description: lncRNA (ENSZALG00000002315.1)
Source: RNAcentral
CAGCAGCGUUUGGUGGCUGGAGUUUGUCCUUGGUGAGCCAGGACCUGGAGGGAUGGAGAUGUGGGAAUGAGCCCCCACCAUCCUGCCCCUGCUGGUUUUGCGAUGGGAAGGGAGAAAUCAGCCCUGCCAUUCCACAUUUCUGUCCUGUGUGCUGGGAGAGUUGGAGCCCAAGGGGACACCUCUGGCCCUGGGACCACAUCUGAGCCUGCAGCUUGGGAAGCAGCCUGGGGCUGUGUCCAGAG